Molecule: ribosomal RNA, 480 nt
Filed under: uncultured bacterium
Lineage: Bacteria
Description: partial 16S ribosomal RNA
Rfam family: Bacterial small subunit ribosomal RNA
Source: RNAcentral
AACGUUGGCGGCAUGCUUUACACAUGCAAGUCGAACGGCAGCGCGGGCUUCGGCCUGGCGGCGAGUGGCGAACGGGUGAGUAAUGCAUCGGAACGUGCCCAGUAGUGGGGGAUAGCCCGGCGAAAGCCGGAUUAAUACCGCAUACGACCUGAGGGUGAAAGCGGGGGACCGAAAGGCCUCGCGCUAUUGGAGCGGCCGAUGUCGGAUUAGCUAGUUGGUGGGGUAAAGGCUUACCAAGGCGACGAUCCGUAGCUGGUCUGAGAGGACGACCAGCCACACUGGGACUGAGACACGGCCCAGACUCCUACGGGAGGCAGCAGUGGGGAAUUUUGGACAAUGGGGGCAACCCUGAUCCAGCCAUGCCGCGUGCGGGAAGAAGGCCUUCGGGUUGUAAACCGCUUUUGUUCGGGAAGAAAUCCUCUGGGCUAAUACCCCGGGGGGAUGACGGUACCGGAAGAAUAAGCACCGGCUAACUACGUG